AUCCGGGGGCGGGGUGGAGGCGGGGAGAAGCCCCCACUGGGCACAGUGCCCCGGGGCUGGCUCUGUGGCUGAGCUUUGAUAUGGGGUGAGGGGGUUACUGCUGACAGCCGGGCUCCCUCACCCCCACCCAGGCUGCCCACGGACUGAACCACUAAUGACUCAGGCCCUGCCACCUGCUGGGAAGUCAGCUGGAAAGUUUUUUUCGUGAUUCAGGGAAUCCCCCGCUUACGGUUACCUUCAGAUAGAAAGUCUACCAGAUCCUUCUCCCCUGUGAUUGACAUUUCUCCAAACCAUAGACCAGGGAGGGGUGCUGAGGUCAGGGUCAGCGGGCCGAGGCACAGAGGUCUGGCCCUCAGUGCCCCUCCUGUGCUCUCUCUGACCUGUGCAGCGCCUCUGACCCCCAGAUCCCUCCACCCCACCUCCUGGCUAAGUGCUUAGUCUGUGGGGAGCCUGGCCCACAUUCCUGCCCAGCCACAGUGCCUGGGAAGGGAGACACAACAUGCAGCCGGCCUGGGGCCGGCCGGUCUGGGCAGGCUCAGUGGCACCCCCAUCUGUGAGCGGCCAGGCCCUGGUGGGAGAUGUGCCCUCGCGGUGGCCCAGCCCCGAUCAAAAGACCCCCAGGCUCAGGUCGGGAGCCCCUAGUCCCAGACGACACUCUCCUGGCUCAGCCACUCCCCAGCUAAGCCCAGAGCUCACCUCCCCCUCUUCCAGCUCGGCCGGGCUCAGCCCUCCCGGCUGCAGGGACCCCCUUUCUCCUAGGAACCGGGAGGGAACAGCCGCCUGGGACUUCCCUGGCCCCCUCCUGGGCCCAGCUGCAGCCACAACCGGCUCUGCCCCGCCGCUUGCUGGCGGCUGCCCGCACUGCGCCUCCGGGCACGGCUCCGGGGUCGCUCCCGGCCGCGCGCGGGCUCACCCCGACCCCCGGCCCGGCGCCCGCGCUCAGGGCUUGCUUCUCCGGCCAGGGCCGCCCGCGUCCCCCCACCGGCUCCUGGGGGCUCCUCGGGACCCCUGCGCGGCUCCGACUCCCUCGCCUCCAGCCCCUGCUCCCGCCAGAUGCACUGCACACCCGGGGCCUCGGUUUCCCCAGCAGGAAAGGAGCGUGCAGAGCCCAGAGAUGCGGAAAUCGAGGCACAACUGGGUUCGCUCUCAUGCUCCAGACGCCGCCCCCCAACGCACGCGGGGAUUCGCCCAAGCGGGCGGGCGUUUGCGACCCCGGGGAUCGCCACCGAGCCCCAGGGUCUCCUCCCGCGACCCCGCAGGGCAGGGCCUGCCCCGAAGGUGGUGCCUUCUCAACCUGUGCCAUCAUCACCAAGGACAGAGGACGGGUGGCUUCAUACCAUCAGUGGCCACCAGGGGGCGCUUGCUUCAGGUGCAGCGUUAGAGCGCAUCAGGACCCCUGAGCUGGGGGCUGGGCUGGGCUGGGCCUGGGAGCAGAGGAGAGGCUCCUGGAGAGCUCUGCCAGGUGGUCACUGCGAGCCCACUUCCCAGGCGAGGAGACUGAGGCCAGAGAAGGGGCGCGACCCACCUGGCUCUCGGGAGCCUAAGGUCUGCGUCUUCAAGGUUUCACCGAGCCCGACUUGGAUCUGCCGCGUCGCCACUACCUUGCUGUGUGACUCUGGGAAAGUCGCCUGACC
RNAcentral lists this long non-coding RNA (1634 nucleotides) under Felis catus (domestic cat). Its description in RNAcentral is "lncRNA (ENSFCAG00000049663.1)". Lineage: Eukaryota; Metazoa; Chordata; Mammalia; Carnivora; Felidae. The record is from RNAcentral.